Diorhabda sublineata is the source of this 3569-nucleotide RNA transcript. It is a transcript of the gene named DBF4-type zinc finger-containing protein 2 homolog, with no coding region annotated. The record is from RefSeq and is a predicted model, not a curated record. The transcript has 3 exons. Lineage: Eukaryota; Metazoa; Arthropoda; Insecta; Coleoptera; Chrysomelidae.
AUCCAACUUUGUGGUAGAAAGCAGUUGUGGCAAAAUUUUUGUUUUUUCAAUGGUGAAUCACAAGAGUAAAUUCCUUUUGACUAAAACGAAUAAUGUUAUACGUUUCAGCACCAAAGUCCUCGUUUGGAGCGAUAUCGAUGUCAUUGAAUGCGAUUGAUCGAUUGUCUCGAUUCUCACGCAAUAGGAACGCGUAGAGCUUCAUUCGCAUGUAAAUAGACAAUUCUAACCUAUCAUUUUUAUUGAAAAACUGUUUUUCUUCUGUAAAUUGAACUGCUGGAAGAACUAAAAGAAGCUGAAGAGACCCUUUAAUGCAACUCAGAAUGACCAAUUUAGAAAAGUAUGUAGGCCAACUAACCAAAACUUUCAGAUAUGUUUUGACACAAUAAGAAUAUAUCUGGACGAACCUGUGAAAACUAGUGGUUAGAAUUACCUUUGAUUGACAGCACAAGUACAUGUACAGAACUAGAAACUAUUUUGCAUAUAAGUAGAAGGUGUUCCGACGAAGUGAAACAAAUAGUGUAUCGUUCUCUCUCCUCCGAGCGCCUUACUUAUUUCUGCGCAACUUUUGCGCGCAUGAAGCAUGCGCAGUAUAGACAAAGUGUCUCGAACGAGAGAGGGAAUUAAUACCGUCUACACCAUACGUAGAGGAGUGAAUUGAGAAUUCCGGACCUGGUAUACAUGUCAAGUAUAUAAAUUAAUGUGAGAACAUUAACAGGUGGUUUUUGCGGUUGUCAUGUGAAGAUAGUAUAAUAAAAUAAAUUAAUAGAAAGUAGAGAAACACAAAUGUAUCUUGAAUAAGAAAAAAAGCAAUUUGUUGCGAUGUUUUACAAAGUGAAAGCAAUUUUAAACUGAAAAAAGGCCGGGCUAAUAAGUUACUUAAUUUUUAUCAAUUAAUCAAUAUUUCAAAUGUGCAAACGAAAGAAAGUUAUUUAUGUAGAAUUUGGUUGUUUUAAUUACAAAUUUUGACAACUGUCGACUAGUUUUCACCCAAAGAGAUUAUCAUAGAAUAGUUUUAUAAGUUCUUCCAAUAUAAAUUGCAGAUUAUAAAAACCCUUGCCGGCAAUUUUGUUUGAUCUACCAUAGGCGUAGAUACCUCAUUUUAUAAAUUUAUUAUUUUUAUAAAUACUUUUAAAAAUAUGUAUAUCUUAUGCGGGAAAGUAUUCGUUUAAGGGCAAUCGAAUCAUUAUAAAUUGGACAGCAUGAUACGCUCGUUAUUUAGACAAAUGCACUUAAAUGCAGUCCUACUUGGAAUUUGGAAAAAAAUCAUUAUUAUACCUCGUUAACUUGCUACAACUGAAUUAUAAAUUAUAAAACGUAAAUAGAUGAGUAAAAUGUACCUGCCUGUAAGGGCGUUUGGUUUAAACAGGGUACCAGACGUGAACUGACCCCUUUUGUGUGAACUAUCCUUAACGAUUCGGUUAUUACCAUCCGUUUAUUCAGUUUUUUGUAUUUAAAACCACAUGCUGACAAAACUUGACGCAAUAUUUCUAAACAGGUAUAAUUGUAUUCUGGAUAAUUUGCUACCUUUUGCUGUAUUACUUCUAAUGCAAUCCUGUUCUCUUAAUUAAACUAUAAACUUGAGUAGCUUUGUCAACUGAUUUUAGUUUUUCGUUUCCGUGAAUGACCCACAGCAACCCCUUUCGUGACUACUCGAUAAAUAGAAAAUUUAUUUACUCUAUUUAAUUCAGCAAAUGUUAUUAUGAUUGCAUUAUCAGAUUGCUGAAUAUUUUCCAUUUACUAAAUAACGCCGUAUUUAUAUUUAUUUAAAGAAAUUUAUCGUAGACUGUCUAUCAAAAAUAUUUCAAAGGAAUUGCGUUCAUACGCCUUCAGACAGCUUCGGCCAAUAGAAAUGCAUUUAUGUUUACGAUGUUUUCCUUGGUUAACAGUGGAGAUGAUGAGUCCAUGUGGACUGACGGUUUGUUAGAUGUUUACGAGGGGUAAACAUUAUUUUUCAUUUCUUAAUUUAGUAUUAGUGCCGUGCGUUUUUAUGAAAUAUUGAUUGAUCCUCGUAUAACUGUCUUCUGCAAUUUAUAUUGGAAGAACUAUAAAAUAAAUUGUCUGGCAAUUUUCUGGUAUGGUAAACCUGUUUUUGUAUUUAUAAUUUUAGUACUUUUUUAUAUCAGUGGCAAUAAAUUUUUAAAAUAUAAUCUUAAAAUCCAUCUUAAUUAUACCAAAUGAAAUAAUUUAUUAUAGUGGUCUAAAAUAAAUAAUUCCAAAAACAACUUUUCGACUAUUAAAGACAAAAUAUUUGAAAGCCGUUUUUACCGGAUUUAAUAAAAAAAAAAUAACUGAAUCCUGAAUAUAAAUUUUUUUUAUCUAAUGUCUUUUCCAUAUCUAAGAAUUCUGUUUAUUUGGUCCUGUAAGUUUAAUAUUUCUUUUAGUUAUUAUCUGAUAUUUGAUAGACAAAGAGCGAGUAUAUAAAUAAAUACGAGGUGUGCUUAAAAAGUAGUAUUUAUGCCAUCAAUUUUGAGUCAGUACAAAGAAUUCUUUCCGUUAUAAUUAUCUGUAAUUAUUUCACCAAACUACUUCGUAUAUUAAAUCAUUUCAUUCCCUUAAUAAUUAUUUUUUAAGGGUGUAGGAUGGCUUAUCAGAACUAUUAAGACUUCAGUUCAAUUUUUUUUCAAAAAUUACUGAAUAUACAUUUGCCUAUAGAUUUCUCUUUAAGUAUUAAUGAACAGAGUAUGUAAAAGAUAGUCAUCGAUAUAAAAUUUUAAAUAUAUAGUGACUUUAGCGACCUAAAUUCUUGUAGGUUUAAUAAAUUAGCAUUAAAAAGCUAUCACGUUGUGUACAGACCACCAGAAAUUGCAUUUGCUCAAAGUAUCUUAAAACAAAGUCUAUUCAAUGUAAACAAUGCAUCGAUAAUUGAAAAAGAAAACAAGCUGUAAAGUAUUCGACUGCGAAACAAUCUUUGAUUGUUUUCCAUCAAAUAGAUAUAAAUGUCAUUAAUAAAAGUAACAGUAAUAGUCUGUAGACUUUUAACACAGAAGAACUUUUACCUAUUAGCUGAUUCUGGAUCCUUACUCAGAAUGAUAUCUAAAGUUUGUUCUUGGUAGCUGCACUGGCAGAACUAGUUCAGGAAUUGUACACUAAAGCGUUCUUUGUAGCAGAACCAGUGCUAGUGUUGCUGUUCUUAGUAGCAGUGCAAAAGAACAAGUUCACUGUAUUGCUUGCACUGGGUCUAGAGUCAGUUCAGCCAUUGCAGUGCAAUAAUAAGUCGUUUUACAUGGUUGUUAAUACUACAAGUCACAUUAAAUAAACUCAAAUACAACAUUCAACAAAUACUACUCUGCACUGUAUCGUUCUUUGUAUCCGAUCGAACUAAUUAGAAACACUCAUGAACUGGCCUGCACUGGCUCAGUUCAGUACAGUUCCAGUGCAGUUACCAAGAACAAGCCUCUAGAUUACACACAUUUUUGGUGGGAAUUUCAAAUUUCAAACUGAUUAGUUUUCGAUCAACAAUGAACGCGAGCUGCAUUGGAUACGUCGCCAGGUUUUCAAAGAAAGAAUUUAUGUCAUAAAAAAGACAGUGACAUCAUUUCAUUAAUUUUUAAUAGUUUGAUAAUGAAAUU